Molecule: unclassified non-coding RNA, 329 nt
Filed under: soil metagenome
Description: partial contains 5.8S ribosomal RNA, internal transcribed spacer 2, and large subunit ribosomal RNA
Rfam family: 5.8S ribosomal RNA (bases 1-120)
Source: RNAcentral
GAUGAAGAACGCAGCGAAAUGCGAUAAGUAGUGUGAAUUGCAGAAUUCAGUGAAUCAUCGAAUCUUUGAACGCACAUUGCGCCCCUUGGUAUCCCGAGGGGCAUGCCUGUUCGAGCGUCAUUUCACCACUCAAGCCUGGCUUGGUGUUGGGCGACGUCCCCUUUAGGGACGCGCCUCGAAACGCUCGGCGGCGCGGCACCGGCUUUAAGCGUAGCAGAAUCUUUCGCUUUGGAAGUCGGGGCCCCGCCUGCCGGAAUACCUAUUUGUAAGGUUGACCUCGGAUCAGGCAGGGAUACCCGCUGAACUUAAGCAUAUCAAUAAGCGGAGGA